Molecule: small nuclear RNA, 105 nt
Organism: Diceros bicornis minor
Lineage: Eukaryota; Metazoa; Chordata; Mammalia; Perissodactyla; Rhinocerotidae
Source: RefSeq, a predicted model, not a curated record
CUGCUCGCUUCAGCAGCACAUAUACUAAAAUUUGGAAUGAUACACAGAUUAGCAUGGCCCCUGUGCAACGAUGACAGAGAAAUUUGUGAAGCAUUCCCUAUUUUU